GGUAGGGAGGGGCUGAGGACGCUGACGGCCGGGCUGGAGCUCCCUCCACUCCAGUAGCUGUGUCUCCCAGCAUUAUUUCUUCUUCAUCUUUAUCGUCGUCGUCACCACCAUCAGCUGCAGCAGCAUCACAAACUUCUCUAUUUCGUGAGCAGCUACUUUGUGCCAGGCCCUGGGCUAAUCUUUUGGAAGACAGGGAUGAAGACAGACAUGGUCCCCCGCCGUUGCUGGCACACAGUCCAGGCAGGGAGACAGACUUGGGAGAUUUAACCGCACAAAUACUUAAUUACUUGUGCUGGGUCUGCAGGAGUACAGCAUGAGGCUCUGAGACAGGGAAGGAGACUGUGGCUAUUUCUGAGCUAAGGACAGACAUACAAUGUAGACAAAUGGACUGGAAUCUCUGAAAUUCAAAGAGUGACUUUGAGGGGUGCGAUGGGAAAAUCCAGAACCCUUCCUGUGCAAAUCUCUUCAUUCUCCUCCAAAAGAAAUUUGUCCAGAGAGGUUUGGGGACUUGCCAGAAGUCACACAGCAAGUCAGAGGAAGCUGGUACGAGGAGGCAGCCCGGGAGGUUAAACGCCCCGGGGACUGGGCCUGAGUCUUCUGCCUUCUAGCUGCACCGCCAUCCUCUGUCUCUCUCUCACACACACACACCCCUCUCAUCCCGCCCUGCACACAGUGGUGUGAGGAAGAGUUCCAGGGGCAAAGACGUCUCAUGCCCAGUGUCUCCCUCGAUGUGGCAGAGCCCAGCCCUUCACCUCCUUGCAAAAGUCUUCUCCCUGAGAUGUUUCCCCAUCACUGUAAAAGCGGCACAAAACACCCGACUUGUGGGGUAGUCCUGGCAGAAAAACCAAAGAUGAUGGACCUGAAACCAGUGUUUUACAAGCAGGAGAGGUGUCUGUGUGAGUCACUUUCUCUUCAAUACUGUGCAAUACUGUGGGACGACCAGGAGCCAUCUGUGGACAGCCAUUGGGUGCCAACCGGGGCACAGCUGCCAGUGCGGGAGCUCUUUCGUCUUCUUCCUGCCUGGAAUGCAGACAUGAGGCCCAGAGGUUCGGCAGCCAUAUUGUGUCCAUGAGGCAGCAAUGUGCAUUUUCAAGGCCUCCCUGCUGAGGAUAGUGAGAAGGAAGAUAGAAAGAGCCAGGGUACCUGGUGGCAUCUAUAAACCUCUAUACCAACCCCUGAUUUCUCACCACCCCCACCCCCCAGUUUGUCA
This is a long non-coding RNA of Bos taurus (domestic cattle), 1210 nucleotides long. The record is from Ensembl. NCBI's taxonomy places the organism in Eukaryota, Metazoa, Chordata, Mammalia, Artiodactyla, Bovidae.